GAUGAAGAACGCAGUGAAAUGCGAUAAGUAAUGUGAAUUGCAGAAUUCAGUGAAUCAUCGAAUCUUUGAACGCACAUUGCGCCCCCUGGUAUUCCGGGGGGCAUGCCUGUCCGAGCGUCAUUACAACCCUCAAGCUCAGCUUGGUGUUGGGCCCCGCCGCCCCGGCGGGCCCUAAAGUCAGUGGCGGUGCCGUCCGGCUCCGAGCGUAGUAAUUCUUCUCGCUCUGGAGGUCCGGUCGUGUGCUCGCCAGCAACCCCCAAUUUUUUUCAGGUUGACCUCGGAUCAGGUAGGGAUACCCUCUGAACUUAAGCAUAUCAAUAAGCGGAGGA
This 329-nucleotide unclassified non-coding RNA is filed under the name soil metagenome. RNAcentral's name for it is "partial contains 5.8S ribosomal RNA, internal transcribed spacer 2, and large subunit ribosomal RNA". The stretch from base 1 to 120 matches the Rfam family "5.8S ribosomal RNA", at positions 35 to 154 of the family's 154-position model. The record is from RNAcentral.